This is an RNA transcript of Oncorhynchus tshawytscha (Chinook salmon), 1734 nucleotides long. It is a transcript of the gene named RNA binding motif protein X-linked, with no coding region annotated. NCBI's taxonomy places the organism in Eukaryota, Metazoa, Chordata, Actinopteri, Salmoniformes, Salmonidae. The record is from RefSeq and is a predicted model, not a curated record. The transcript is spliced from 10 exons.
CUAGUUAAAUAAAGAAAAGAAAAAGGUUGGAAACUACUUCCGGGUGCGUGAUACCACGUGAUCAGUAUACUUUUACCUUCGUCGUUUCGUAUUUUCCUGGAGGAGGCUUCGAGCGUGUCGUGAAAUUUUAAAAGCUUAAACCGACCCAAAUAUGGCAGAGGCUGACCGACCAGGGAAGCUCUUCAUCGGUGGCCUGGACACUGAAACUAACGAGAAGGCCCUUGAGAAGUACUUCAGCAAAUAUGGCAGAAUAGUAGAAGUUUUGUUGAUGAAAGACCGUGAAACGAACAAAUCCAGAGGUUUUGCGUUUGUGACCUUUGAGAGUCCGGCAGAUGCAAAGGAUGCUGCGCGCGAAAUGAAUGGGAAGUCACUUGAUGGUAAGCCAAUAAAGGUUGAACAAGCAACAAAACCUCAGUUUGAGUCAGCGGGCAGACGCGGCCCACCCCCCAUGCGUGGCCGCGGUCCCCCUAGAGGUCCUAGAGGAUCUAGAGGAGCACCAAUGAGGGGUCCACCAUCCAGAGACUACUAUGAUAACGUAGGGAUUGUAGAACCCUUUUUCAAAGGGAUUUCGUCCAGAGGCCCUCCACCACUGAAAAGGGGACCUCCGAUUCGUAAUGGAGGCCCCCCACCCAAGAGACAUGCUCCUUCUCCAAUGGGCAGACCUUCCAUGUCUAGGGACAGGGACCCCUAUGGCCCACCCCCUCCCCGCAGGGACUCAAUGUCCAGAAGGGAUGAUUACCCAUCACCAAGAGAUGAAUAUUACAGCACAAAGGACAGCUAUUCUAGCCGGGAAUAUGUGAGUUCCAGGGAUACACGGGACUACGCACCAACACCACGGGACUAUCCGCCAAGGGAUUAUCCCCAAUCCAGUUCCCGUGAUGAAUAUGGGUCAAUGUCAAGGGGCUACAGUGAUGGUUAUGGUGGAGGCCGGGAACCCAAAAGCUAUAUGGAGCGCCCUAGUGCAGCCUCUUAUCGAGAGCCCUACGAUGGUUACGGGUGAGCUCUAAUGGAGCAAUCUUCUGGAACUAUUGCUGAUUCAAGCCUUCCUGUUGGUUGAUGUUGGACCAUCGCACAGAGAACCGAACAGGUACCUGUGCUGGCACCGCUCCCAAUUACAACUAAUAGUGGCAGGCGCCUGCAUGGAAACAACCAACAUCAUUGGACACAAACCAGUUAGAGAAAUGAGACUCAAAAGGAAGGUCAUUCUAAUGCCUGGUCUCAAAAAAAAUUACCUUCGAACAUCAAAAAUUAUACUGUUCCCAAAAGCACAACCAUUCAUUGCUGGAGUUAAGCAACUUCUUUAAGAUGGUACACUAGAAUUGGAAUGCAGAUUCUGUUUGGUUUGCUGAGCCACAUUUGUGAUGGGCAUCUCUUACAGAAAUCUAGAUUAUAGAAUGUUUCCUUGCCAGAUAUGGUGGAGCCCAUCAGAUAACACAAUUGUCUGUUUCCUGAUAUUGCAGUGGAAUUGGAAGCACACACACAACCAUUGCUUAGAAUUCUCCAGUGUCUCCCAGGUGUGGACAGAAGAACAGUUAUUACAAAGAAUCGAAAGCCCAAUUAACCCCCGUGUAUUGUUUUUGUUAUUCACCCAAUGUCCGUGGGUCUGAUUGACUCACAACAUUAUUGGGUUAAAACAAUACAGCCAUAACAAUAUACUUAGAUGUUGAAUCAAUUACACGUCAUAUAGACAGCAUACAUGGUUAAUCACAUUUAUCAAUAAAACCGCUAUUUGUU